UACGAAGGGGGCUAGCGUUGCUCGGAAUCACUGGGCGUAAAGCGCACGUAGGCGGAUCUUUAAGUCAGGGGUGAAAUCCUGGAGCUCAACUCCAGAACUGCCUUUGAUACUGGGGAUCUCGAGUCCGGGAGAGGUGAGUGGAACUCCGAGUGUAGAGGUGAAAUUCGUAGAUAUUCGGAAGAACACCAGUGGCGAAGGCGGCUCACGUGGCCCGGUACUGACGCUGAGGUGCGAAAGCGUGGGGAGCAAACAGG
RNAcentral lists this ribosomal RNA (254 nucleotides) under uncultured bacterium. Its description in RNAcentral is "partial 16S ribosomal RNA". It matches the Rfam family "Bacterial small subunit ribosomal RNA", at positions 524 to 776 of the family's 1533-position model. The record is from RNAcentral.